Molecule: microRNA precursor, 100 nt
Filed under: Aotus nancymaae (Ma's night monkey)
Lineage: Eukaryota; Metazoa; Chordata; Mammalia; Primates; Aotidae
Description: miRNA (ENSANAG00000010515.1)
Source: RNAcentral
UGAGGCAGGAGAAUUGCUUGAACCCAGGAGAUGGAGGCUGCAGUGAGCCGAGAUUGUGCCACUGCACUCCAGCCUCGGUGACAGAGCGAGACUCCAUCUC